This is a long non-coding RNA of Apis cerana (Asiatic honeybee), 920 nucleotides long. RefSeq lists it as uncharacterized. The record is from RefSeq and is a predicted model, not a curated record. Lineage: Eukaryota; Metazoa; Arthropoda; Insecta; Hymenoptera; Apidae.
CCUCGAUUCUUUGUAUUCGCUAGGAAGGAGAGGGGAGCGGUUUACAUCCGUCGUCCCAUCGGGUAUACGCUUUUUAUAUACGUUUUCGCCUUCGCUCCGUUCGACCGUCGAUAAUUCGGCGAGAUAAUUUGGCGUGUAAAUACGGGAGGAAGGAGAGGGGAUGUUGUUCGUUGGUCGAAUUGAAGGAAGAAAUUAUCGCGGAAACGGUUCGUAACGGUCGAGUUAUUUUGCUGUCGUUGCAGUAGCGUUUAAACAUCGAUGAUUAGAUUAUUUAAUUGGUACGCGUUGUAUAUAUUAUUCGAUACAAUUAUUUUGGUGAUUAUUGUGUUCGUUGUUUGAAUCUGAGACUGUUAUUUCUUGAGGAAAAUUUCACGGAGAAGAUACUUGGAAGUGGAAUAAAUGUUGGCGGGAAGAAAUUUCGAAAGAUUUAAGAAUUAUUAUUACAAGAUAAUUGGUUCAUUUGGAGUUAAACGUGGUAAUGUACGUUUUAAGAAUAAAUAAGUAGAAAAAUGUCGAUGUAUUGUUGUAGAUCUGAAACUAUUUCCCAUUUUUUAAGAGAAAUUUCGCUUCGAGGAAAUUUGAAAAGAUUUAAUAAUCCGUGAAAAGACAAUUGGUCCACUUUCACGGGGAAAUUGGAACGUGGAAGUUUACGUUUCGAGAAUAAAUAAACAGAAAAAUUCCACGAGAAGAAAGUUCAAAAGAUUUCAAAAGAUUUGAUAAUCCGUGAAGAGACACAAUUGGUUUUGAGGGAAACUGGAAUUAAAAAAAUUCCGCGGGAAGAAAUUUUAAGGAGAAUUGGGCAAAUAAAUAGAAAAAAAUAUCGAGAAGGAAUUUCAAUAAUCUAUGAGGAAUGCAAUUGGUCCAUUUUGAGAGAAAUUAAGACUACAUGUUUUAAGAGUAAAUAAAUAAAUAAAAAGAUA